AGAAGGUGUAAACUAUCUGUCUUUAACCGUCACACUUACCAAACUUUUGCUGAUUACCUCAAAAAGAAGGUGUAAACUAUCUGUCUUUAACCGUCACACUUACCAAACUUUUGCUGAUUACCCCAAAAAGAAGGUGUAAACUUACCAAACUUUUGCUGAUUUCCUCAAAAAGAAGGUAUAAUCUAUCUGUCUUUUACCUUCACACUUACCAAACUUUUGCUGAUUGCCUCAAAAAGAAGGUGUAAUCUAUCUGUCUUUUACCUUCACACUUACCAAACUUUUACAGGUUACCUCAAUAAGAGUAGGUGUAAACUAUGUCUUUUCCCUUCACACUUACCAGACCUUUACAGAUUACCUCAAUAUGAAAAGGUGUAAACUAUGUCUUUUCCCUUCACACUUACCAGACCUUUACAGAUUACCUCAGUAAUAGAAGGUGUAAACUAUGUCUUUUUCCUUCACACUUACCAAACUUACAGAUUACCUCAGUAAGAGAUUCAGACAUGAUCUUCCUAUCUAAAGAUCGUACCCAUAUAUUGCUGCUUUUCUAGAGCAAACUAGGUUUAAGUAUGGUUUCAAUAUCUCUCUGACGAGAAAAAGGAGGGGGGGGGGGUGAGGAAUGGAAAAUAAAUCAUAACAAUAUUUGUCCUAAAUGCAAAAACUCAGAAAACAUCCUCAUAUUACUUACUCAAUAUUAAACAUUGUGUAAACUAUUUUCUAAAAAGAAUACCAAUAUCGUAAUCUGGGCAGCUCUUACAGAGUUUGAAUUAAAAAUAGGCCAAGAAAGAUUGGUUCAACAAUAUCAGACAGGCAGCUGACAGAUAUCUGUCCCAGUUAUGAUCCACACAAACUUUUGCCAAUUGUAGGUAAUAGAUUCUUCUUAGACAAUCAAAUUGAUAGUGCUCUUUAAACAGAGGGGUUAAGGCUGAUUUAUCUACAUUUCAUCAGUUCAAAUUAAUGGAUAUUUCUACCCAGUAAAACUAUGCCAUGCUAUGAUCGAUGCAUUAGGAUGGCAUGAAAAGAUAAACUUUUGGGUGAUUUCAGCUGAAGGUUGUUUUAAACAGGAUGAGGGGGUCAAACUAGAAGCAGUUGGUACUAUUUUUUUAAAUGGAAAUCUAUUUAAAGUCACCUGUAUGAAAAACUUAAGGCAGAUAUUUAAAAAAAAAAAAAAAAAGGCUUGUGAAAUAAUGUUUUCAACCUACACAUUGGAACAACAACUAAUUUUACUAUUUGGAGCUCUUCACCAUAGUGUUGCAUCAUACCAGUAAAAUUAUAUCUAGACAAGACAUAUCACUGUAUCCACAGUUUAUAUUUAGAUUGACACACUGACAUAUGUUCAUGUACAUGCUUAGUGACAUAUGGAAGGUUUUUGUUAUAAGAUAGCCAGCUUUAGUUCAAACAAUAACGGAGCAAUCCCGUGAUGUCCUUUCUAUAAACAAACUAUAGCCAGCUUUAGCUCAAACAAUAACCUAGCAGUCCUGUGAUAUCCUUUUUAUAAACAAUCUAUUUUAAAAAGUCAAUGGCCUUCAUUUCUAUUUGCAUGGUCUAAAAAGAUUAUUUUGAAUUGAUGUUCUAUUCCCUGUGUCAUUGACAUCAUACAUGUAUUACCAAAAAAGUUGUCAACAUUUAAAUUAUGGAAAUAAAGCAUUGGGCAACAAAUUCUUUAACAUCUGAGUGAUUUAAUGUUUGUGUUUACUGUUUUAUAUGCAAAGUGCAUACUUUGUGCUAACUAGAAUUACCAAAUAUGGUUUUAGGGUGGUCAUGCUUCAGUAUCCGUCGGUCCCUGUGGUUACUUGACGUCAGAAGGCCCUGCUUGUAUGUCAUCAUCAUACAUUUCUCUAAAGAAUUUAAAUUUACUUCUUGCAGAGCAUAACAUUCUGAAUUUAAGUUAUGAAUAUAGAAGUAUAGAUUAACCACAAAGGUUGGAGAGCAC
RNAcentral lists this long non-coding RNA (1930 nucleotides) under Mytilus galloprovincialis (Mediterranean mussel). The record is from RNAcentral. Lineage: Eukaryota; Metazoa; Mollusca; Bivalvia; Mytilida; Mytilidae.